GAUGAACGCUGGCGGCGUGCCUAAUACAUGCAAGUCGAGCGAACAGACGAGGAGCUUGCUCCUCUGACGUUAGCGGCGGACGGGUGAGAAACACGUGGAUAACCUACCUAUAAGACUGGGAUAAUUUCGGGAAACCGGAGCUAAUACCGGAUAAUAUCUUGAACCGCAUGGUUCAAUAGUGAAAGACGGUUUUGCUGUCACUUAUAGAUGGAUCCGCGCCGCAUUAGCUAGUUGGUAAGGUAACGGCUUACCAAGGCAACGAUGCGUAGCCGACCUGAGAGGGUGAUCGGCCACACGGGAGCUGAGACACGGUCCAGACUCCUACGGGAGGCAGCAGUAGGGAAUCUUCCGCAGUGGGCGAAAGCCUGGCGGAGCGGCGCCACGUGAGUGAUGGAGGUCUUCGGUUCGGAAAACUCUGUUAUUAGUGAAGAACAAAUGUGUAAGUAGCUAUGCACGUCUUGACGGUACCUGAUCAGAAAGCCACGGCUAACUACGUG
This 497-nucleotide ribosomal RNA is filed under the name uncultured bacterium. RNAcentral describes it as "partial 16S ribosomal RNA". It matches the Rfam family "Bacterial small subunit ribosomal RNA", at positions 28 to 507 of the family's 1533-position model. The record is from RNAcentral.